Molecule: long non-coding RNA, 1036 nt
Organism: Rattus norvegicus (Norway rat)
Lineage: Eukaryota; Metazoa; Chordata; Mammalia; Rodentia; Muridae
Source: Ensembl
GGCCUCUCUGGUGUAGCCCAGGAUGGCUUUGCAUUCACUAUGCAGCCCAGGAUAGUCUCAUUGUCACAGUUCUCUUGCCUCUGCUCCGAGUGCUGGGAAUUACAGUGUUAUCGCAUCUUUUGUGAACUUUUGACGUCAAAGACUGUCUUAGUUGCUGGGAUAAAGAACAUGACCAAAAGCAUUUGGGCAGGACAGAGUUCAUUUCAGCUUAUGACUCAGAGCCACCCAGGAAACUUGGAAGACAUGAGGAGAUCUCUGCCUUAUUCUUCUUCACUGAGUCUGGACCUGUGUGUUGCUAAUUACCUCUCCAGAUAUUCUGGACUUCAAAAUGUUUGAGAACUUUUUCUUCUAAUGACUAUGGGAUGGGUUCACAGUCGAGUCUCCUAUAUUCAGCACCCAAAGUCCCUCCCCUUACUCAGCAGCAAACGCCUUACAUUAUGAGAAUCACAGGGACCCCACAGUUAAUCGAUCUGUAAUAAAACAACCAGUGUCCCGCCUCGACAUUGUGAGCCAGGGCCAGGAGGAACUGAGCCAAGCCAGUCUGGCAGAGACUACCACGUGUCUUGCCUUUCCUUCUUCUAGAAAUAUCCGGGCUUUUUUUUUUUUUUUUCAUAAUGCUUAAAUUGCUACAGUGACAAGCAGAGGCCUAAGUUGUGGUAACAUAGACAGGAAGGAAAUUGGCUAAUACUAAAAUGGGAAAAGGCACUUCAAGAGUUCACAAAAACCAUUGGCUUAACAUUGACAGACAUCAGAGGUCAAUAAAAGUUUUAAAGAUUCUGUACGUCUGCCUUAUUUCUGUCCUUCAAGUGGCUCCAUGUAUUUAGAGAGACCAUAUAUACCCCAGAUUAAUAAUUUAAAAUUUAAAAUGAACACAAAUCAAAAAGAACACGAGAGUGUAGUAGACAGGCUGAAUGAGUGGAUACAAUAAAAUCACAACUGCGAGAUGAAUGAAUAAGGAUAAUGGCAUAUAUACAGUAAUAAAACCUCUCACUCUCUAGGCUAACUUAAAAUUUUUUUUUUUGGUUCUUUUUUUUCG